GUUCUUUGCCGUCACUCAGAGCCUCUCAGGGCCCCAAGACUCCAGGAAGAAACAAGUAUUGUAGAAGCCAAAACCCCAAGGCAAGAUGAGGAAACUGAGGCCCCACGUGGUGAAGACAAUUUUUACCCGAAUCCACCCACAACAAGAGACCAUUUGGAUAAUGUACAUUAUGGGAAGAGAACAGAGUCUCAGUGAAGAUCAUGUUUCCCCAGCAACACAGGUGCCAGGAGUAGCUGGCUCUGGUCCCAGCCCAGACUCAGAAAUCCUGAGCCACCAGACCAUUUCUAGAUUAACAAGUAAGGUGACUUCUGAGCAACUAAUGUUUUCAUUGAGAUUUGAUGAUAAGCAGCAAAGCUCAAAUGAAAGUCCAGAGUUAGUGUUGGCAGGGCGAGAUGGCUCAUGCCUGUAAUCCCAGCACUUUGGGAGGCUGAGGUGGGAGGAUCACUUGAGCCCAGGAGUUUGAGACCAGCCCGAGCUAUAUAGUGAGACCCUAUCUCUACAAAAAAUACAAAAAUUAGCUGGGCGUAGUUGUGCGUGCCUGUAGUUCUAACUACUCAGGAGGCUGACAGGGGAUGAUCGCUUAAACCCAAGAUAUCGAAGCUGCAAUGAGUUGAGAUUGCACCACUGCACUCCAGCCUGGACGGCAGAAUGAAACCUUGUCUAAAACACACACACACACACACACACACACACACACACACACACACACACACACACACACACAGAGUAUUGAUUACAGCGCUAUACCAGGUUCUAGUGUUGAGUAAGGGACAGGGAGGAGCAAUCUGUAAAGAAAUAGAGUCUCACUGGAAUUUCAUUCUUCAUUAUUUCAUACCCUUCACUUUUUCUAGACGCUAACCCCAUAUGAUACUAAAAAGUAUCUGUAUUGCAUCAGACGACGUAUCUGUGAAGUCAGAGAAUUGUGCUUUAAGAAUCUCUCAAGAGGAGAACAUAUAUUGGGCUUUCAUAAUACCAAUAACAUUUUACAUCAUGCUUCAUUUACAAGCUAUUUUCACACAUAUCACUCUAUUUAAUCUUCACAACUUGGUGAGAUAAACAAAGUAUUAUUUUCAGUAUAAUUUUCUGGAUGAGAAAAUUAUAGCUUAGAGAAGUUGUGUCUUGCACGAGAUCACAAAGCUAAUUAAGUGGAAAGGUUACUUAACAUUAACUACAAACCAGAUCUUCCACCAAGCCUUUUCCCCACCACAGGGCUUUGCUGGUUGGGGAGAAAUUGUCAUUUGGUCCCAGAACACACUUGAAGGCCACUGCCUUAAGCAACCCUUUGAGUAACAAGGAAGAAAGUAUUCCCGUAGGUCAUAAAUACUGCUUUACUAACUUCCUAAAUGUCUUCAUAAAAUCUUAGGGAAAUGGUUAAUGGACACUAAUUUUAAACUUUAAAAUAAUAUAAUUAUUGCCCUUUCUUCCAACAAUUCCACAUCUGUGAAUUCUCCUAAGAGAACCAUUAUGGAUAUGAAAAAUAUUUAGCUACAAGAGGUUUUUUGAAGCACUGUUUAUAACAGAAAACAAAUAUAAAGCUCAGCAUUGGAAAAGUGGUAAAAUGGAUUAUGCUGAACUCAUGAAAAUAAUGUCAGGGUUUCCCACACUUUGAUUAUUCAUGUGGCAUCUUCAGAAUAUUGCCAUCUGCACUAAUAUUUACUUAACAUUUUCCUUUAAAUUAAUUCAUACAUUUUACUGGAAUAAAAUUAUUUAAAGGUAUUUUUUAUUAUUAACAUAAGUAGAAAUACAGUAUUAAUUGCCUUAAAUGUCAGAUGACAAUAAAAACAAAUACAAUGAAAACAAAGUAAUGUUAUUAAUGCAUGAAUUUGGUCCCAAUACCUUGAAGAAAACAUAUGACUGAUUUAAUAAAAUCACAAGUAAUCCCUUUUUUUGCCAUCACAAACUUCACCUUUCUGCAUUAAAAAAUCUCUUUUUUCACCUCUGAUCUAUAAAAGGUUCAAUGGAAAAAAGAUAUGCAGUGUGUGUCUGACCCCAAAUCACAGUUAGAUAUAUUUAUGCAUA
This 2019-nucleotide long non-coding RNA is filed under the name Homo sapiens (human). RNAcentral's name for it is "HSALNT0138061". Lineage: Eukaryota; Metazoa; Chordata; Mammalia; Primates; Hominidae. The record is from RNAcentral.